CCUACGGGAGGCUGCAGUGAGGAAUAUUGGUCAAUGGCCGCGAGGCUGAACCAGCCAAGUCGCGUGAGGGAAGACUGCCCUACGGGUUGUAAACCUCUUUUGUCGGGGAGUAAAGCGAGUCACGUGUGACUCUUUGAGAGUACCCGAAGAAAAAGCAUCGGCUAACUCCGUGCCAGCAGCCGUGGUAAUACGGAGGAUGCGAGCGUUAUCCGGAUUUAUUGGGUUUAAAGGGUGCGCAGGGGGGGGUUCAAGUCAGUGGUAAAAUUGCGGGGCUCAACCUAGUAUUGCAGUUGAAACUGGAUGCCUUGAGUGCGGGAGAGGUAGGCGGAAUGCGUGGUGUAGCGGUGAAAUGCAUAGAUAUCACGAAGAACUCCGAUUGCGAAGGCAGCAUACCGACGCGCAACUGACGUUGAUGCACGAAAGUGUGGGUAUCGAACAGGAUUAGAUACCCGUGUAGUC
RNAcentral lists this ribosomal RNA (459 nucleotides) under uncultured bacterium. Its description in RNAcentral is "partial 16S ribosomal RNA". It matches the Rfam family "Bacterial small subunit ribosomal RNA", at positions 338 to 795 of the family's 1533-position model. The record is from RNAcentral.